Sapajus apella (tufted capuchin) is the source of this 821-nucleotide RNA transcript. It is a transcript of the gene named ubiquitin-conjugating enzyme E2 A pseudogene, with no coding region annotated. The transcript has a single exon. The record is from RefSeq and is a predicted model, not a curated record. NCBI's taxonomy places the organism in Eukaryota, Metazoa, Chordata, Mammalia, Primates, Cebidae.
CCUGUCCGGCGCUCGACGUUCCACCCCAGUCUCUCUGCUUUCAGGUUGGUUCAUCCCCCGUCUACACUGGGGUGGUGCUUUGCCGGCGCCAGACCGACCCUCGACUUCGGAGAGGUAGCGCGGUACCUUUGGGUGCUUCCGCCGCCGCUUCUCCGGCUGCUUCUGCCUCCUCGGCCUCCUCGCCCGCCGCGGGAACCCGAGACCCCAGUGUAUGCCCCACCCCUAACACCGUUCGCGAUAUGUCCACCCCGGCUCGCCGGCGCCUCAUGCGGGGCUUCAAGAGGUUGCAGGAGGAUCCUCCAGCCGGAGUCAGCGGGGCUCCGUCCGAGAACAACAUAAUGGUGUGGAACGCGGUCAUUUUGGGGCCUGAAGGGACCCCAUUUGAGGAUGGAACAUUUAAACUUACAACAGAAUUCACUGAAGAAUAUCCAAAUAAGCCACCUACACUUAGAUUUGUCUCUAAGAUGUUCCAUCCAAAUGUCUAUGCAGAUGGUAGUAUAUGUCUGGAUAUACUUCAGAACCGUUGGAGUCCAACCUGUGAUGUGUCUUCGAUUCUAACAUCCAUACAGUCUCUAUUGGAUGAACCCAAUCCCGAUAGUCCAGCAAACAACCAGGCUGCGCAGCUGUACCAGGAGAACAAUCGGGAAUAUGAAAAGCGUGUUUCUGCAAUAGUAGAACAAAGCUGGCGUGAUUGUUGACCCCGGGUACAGUUAAAGAAGAAGCUGGCCAUAAGAAAAAUAUAUAUUGAUGUGUUUGUCACCUCCCUACUCUUGUCAUUACAUUUACUUUAUUAAAAGCAAAAUAGCUGUUAAAAAAAAAAA